RNAcentral lists this long non-coding RNA (253 nucleotides) under Trifolium pratense (red clover). RNAcentral describes it as "long non-coding RNA (TPRA_LNC012865)". The record is from RNAcentral. Lineage: Eukaryota; Viridiplantae; Streptophyta; Magnoliopsida; Fabales; Fabaceae.
GUGAACAUUCAAAAUUCAAUGGCUAUUGUUUUUCAAUAAGAUCAAACGGUUUAAAUUAAGAGAUUUAUUGAGAUCUAUGGUGCACCAAGUGUAAUGUUAGUCCACCUAAUACAUUUUGUGUUAAAAACUAACGGAAGGGACCAUUGUGAUUAACAGAUAUGUCUUUAAGGGACCAAUUCAGACUUUUUUUUUCUUUAAGGGACCAUUAUGAAACCUAAAAUGUCUUUAAGGGACCAUUUAACUAAUUUAGCCU